CGACAGCCCUCGGCCCUGUUCCGACUUCUUCCUCAGCAGUGUCGCAUCCUCAGCCGCUGCUCACCUCUCCUGCAUCCACGUGACUCCACCCUCUGAUCUCACGUCACUCUCCACCCCUCAGUCUCAUCCGUGCCUCACUCACCUGUGUGCUCACAGCGCCCUCCCGUCACAGUGAUCUNCACAGCUUCACCUCGACUCUCUNGAGUUCGCCACACUCACACACUCCCCUCAUUGUGGUNGAUCGUCACGGGACUGUGUNGAUC
Molecule: ribosomal RNA, 263 nt
Filed under: uncultured bacterium
Lineage: Bacteria
Description: partial 16S ribosomal RNA
Source: RNAcentral